RNAcentral lists this ribosomal RNA (476 nucleotides) under uncultured organism. RNAcentral's name for it is "partial 16S ribosomal RNA". It matches the Rfam family "Bacterial small subunit ribosomal RNA", at positions 332 to 800 of the family's 1533-position model. The record is from RNAcentral.
UACACUCCUACGGGAGGCAGCAGUGGGGAAUUUUGGACAAUGGGCGAAAGCCUGAUCCAGCAAUGCCGCGUGAGUGAAGAAGGCCUUCGGGUUGUAAAGCUCUUUUGUCAGGGAAGAAACGGUGAAAGCUAAUAUCUUUUGCUAAUGACGGUACCUGAAGAAUAAGCACCGGCUAACUACGUGCCAGCAGCCGCGGUAAUACGUAGGGUGCAAGCGUUAAUCGGAAUUACUGGGCGUAAAGCGUGCGCAGGCGGUUUUGUAAGUCUGAUGUGAAAUCCCCGGGCUCAACCUGGGAAUUGCAUUGGAGACUGCAAGGCUAGAAUCUGGCAGAGGGGGGUAGAAUUCCACGUGUAGCAGUGAAAUGCGUAGAUAUGUGGAGGAACACCGAUGGCGAAGGCAGCCCCCUGGGUCAAGAUUGACGCUCAUGCACGAAAGCGUGGGGAGCAAACAGGAUUAGAUCCCCGGUAGUCCCAUGA